GUAGGUCCGAAGUCCAGUAUGGGACUCACUGGGCUAAAAUCAAGUUGCCUCCAGGCUGCAUUUCUUUCUGGAGGCUCUCAGAAUCCAUUUCCUUGCUCAUUCAAGUUGUUAGCUGAAUUCAGUCCUAAUGGUUGUGACCGAGGUCCCUGUUUCUUUGCUGGUAUUCCCAGCUUCUAGAGACCACCUGCAUUUUUUGGCUUGUGGCCCCUUUCCUCCAUUCUCAAAACCAACAAGACCCGGUCAUGUGCUUCUUAUACUUCAAAUCUCUCCUGCCUCUUCUUCCACUGUAGCACCUUUCUCUGACUCACUCUUUUGUCUUCCUCUUCUACUUUUAAGGACUCUUGUGGUUACAUUGGGCCCACCCAGGUACCAGAUAAUCCCCUAUCUCAAAGUCCCUUUUGCCAUGUAACAUAGUCACAGGUAUGUUCAUAUUCACAGGUUCUGGGCAUUAGGACAAGGACAUCUUUCUGGGGGUCGUUAUUUUGCCUGCCACAUGUUUGCCUUGCAAAGACUGGGAGUU
Molecule: non-coding RNA, 520 nt
Organism: Kogia breviceps (pygmy sperm whale)
Lineage: Eukaryota; Metazoa; Chordata; Mammalia; Artiodactyla; Physeteridae
Source: RefSeq, a predicted model, not a curated record